RNAcentral lists this ribosomal RNA (497 nucleotides) under uncultured bacterium. Its description in RNAcentral is "partial 16S ribosomal RNA". It matches the Rfam family "Bacterial small subunit ribosomal RNA", at positions 28 to 507 of the family's 1533-position model. The record is from RNAcentral.
GACGAACGCUGGCGGCGUGCCUAAUACAUGCAAGUAGAACGCUGAAGAGAGGAGCUUGCUCUUCUUGGAUGAGUUGCGAACGGGUGAGUAACGCGUAGGUAACCUGCCUUGUAGCGGGGGAUAACUAUUGGAAACGAUAGCUAAUACCGCAUAACAAUGGAUGACACAUGUCAUUUAUUUGAAAGGGGCAAUUGCUCCACUACAAGAUGGACCUGCGUUGUAUUAGCUAGUAGGUGAGGUAAUGGCUCACCUAGGCGACGAUACAUAGCCGACCUGAGAGGGUGAUCGGCCACACUGGGACGGAGACACGGCCCAGACUCCUACGGGAGGCAGCAGUAGGGAAUCGUCGGCAAUGGGGGCAACCCUGACCGAGCAACGCCGCGGGAGUGAAGAAGGUUGUCGGAUCGUAAAGCUCUGUUGUAAGUCAAGAACGGGUGUGAGAGUGGAAAGUUCGCACUGUGACGGUAGCUUACCAGAAAGGGACGGCUAACUACGUG